GAUGAAGAACGUAGCGAAAUGCGAUAAGUAAUGUGAAUUGCAGAAUCCAGUGAAUCAUCGAAUCUUUGAACGCACAUUGCGCCCGCCAGCAUUCUGGCGGGCAUGCCUGUUCGAGCGUCAUUUCAACCCUCGACCUCCCCUUGGGGAGGUCGGCGUUGGGGACCGGCAGCACACCGCCGGCCCUGAAAUGGAGUGGCGGCCCGUCCGCGGCGACCUCUGCGUAGUAAUACAGCUCGCACCGGAACCCCGACGCGGCCACGCCGUAAAACACCCAACUUCUGAAGUUGACCUCGAAUCAGGUAGGAAUACCCGCUGAACUUAAGCAUAUCAAUAAGCGGAGGA
Molecule: unclassified non-coding RNA, 342 nt
Filed under: soil metagenome
Description: partial contains 5.8S ribosomal RNA, internal transcribed spacer 2, and large subunit ribosomal RNA
Rfam family: 5.8S ribosomal RNA (bases 1-120)
Source: RNAcentral